Molecule: ribosomal RNA, 506 nt
Filed under: uncultured bacterium
Lineage: Bacteria
Description: partial 16S ribosomal RNA
Rfam family: Bacterial small subunit ribosomal RNA
Source: RNAcentral
AGUGAACGCUGGCGGUAGGCCUAACACAUGCAAGUCGAACGGCAGCACAGAGGAGCUUGCUCCUUGGGUGGCGAGUGGCGGACGGGUGAGGAAUACAUCGGAAUCUACUCUGUCAUGGGGGAUAACGUAGGGAAACUUACGCUAAUACCGCAUACGACCUACGGGUGAAAGCAGGGGAUCUUCGGACCUUGCGCGAUUGAAUGAGCCGAUGUCGGAUUAGCUAGUUGGCGGGGUAAAGGCCCAACAAGGCGACGAUCCGUAGCUGGUCUGAGAGGAUGAUCAGCCACACUGGAACUGAGACACGGUCCAGACUCCUACGGGAGGCAGCAGUGGGGAAUAUUGGACAAUGGGCGCAAGCCUGAUCCAGCCAUACCGCGUGGGUGAAGAAGGCCUUCGGGUUGUAAAGCCCUUUUGUUGGGAAAGAAAUCCAUCUGGUUAAUACCCGGGUGGGAUGACGGUACCCAAAGAAUAAGCACCGGCUAACUUCGUGCCAGCAGCCGCCGUAA